Molecule: ribosomal RNA, 435 nt
Filed under: uncultured bacterium
Lineage: Bacteria
Description: bacterial SSU rRNA
Rfam family: Bacterial small subunit ribosomal RNA
Source: RNAcentral
ACCUAAUAGAUACCCUGGUAGUCCACGCCCUAAACGAUGCGAACUGGAUGUUGGGUACAUUACGGUACUCAGUGUCGAAAGCUAAACGCGUUAAGUUCGCCGCCUGGGGAGUACGGUCGCAAGACUGAAACUCAAAGGAAUUGACGGGGCCCGCACAAGCGGUGGAGUAUGUGGUUUAAUUCGAUGCAACGCGAAGAACCUUACCUGGCCUUGACAUCUGUCGAAUCCUGCAGAGAUGCGGGAGUGCCGCAAGGAACGACAAGACAGGUGCUGCAUGGCUGUCGUCAGCUCGUGUCGUGAGAUGUUGGGUUAAGUCCCGCAACGAGCGCAACCCUUGUCCCUAGUUGCCAGCACAUCAUGGUGGGAACUCUAGGGAGACUGCCGGUGACAAACCCGGAGGAAGGUGGGGAUGACGUCAAGUCCUCAUGGCCCUUA